CCCAAUUACUCUUGUAAGUCACUCUGGAUAAGAGCAUCUGCUAAAUGACUAAAA
This is a non-coding RNA of Salmo salar (Atlantic salmon), 54 nucleotides long. Lineage: Eukaryota; Metazoa; Chordata; Actinopteri; Salmoniformes; Salmonidae. The record is from Rfam.